AAAACAUUUCUAUUAGAAUUAAUUAAUAGUAAAAUCUGCUCAAUGAUAAAUUCAAUAGCCGCUUAUGUGCUAAGGUAGCAUAAUAAUUUGUCUUUUAAUUAAAGACUAGAACAAAAGAUAUUUCAUCUAAAUUUUUUUCUUAAAUUAUUAUUUUAAAAUUAUCUUAAGUGUAAAAAGACACUUAUAAAAAUGAAAGACGAUAAGACCCUAUUGAACUUAACUUUAGUUUAACUGGGGAAGUUAAUUAAUUAAAAUUUUAAUUUAUUCAUUCAGAUAAAAUUAGACCUAAUAUAAUUCAUUACUUAAUCAAGUUACCAUAGGGAUAACAGCGUAAUAAAUUUUUAAAGAUCUCAUUUAAAAAAAAGAUUGCGACCUCGAUGUUGAAUUAAUUACCUAAUAAACGCAAUAGUUAUUAAAGUAAGUCUGUUCGACUUUUAAAAAAUUACAUGAUUUGAGUUCAGACCGGUGUAAACCAGGUCGGUUUCUAUCUUCAUUUAAUUAUUUUUGUAGUACGAAAGGACCUAAAAAAAUAAUAAUAUU
This 540-nucleotide ribosomal RNA is filed under the name Aglaoctenus lagotis. RNAcentral describes it as "partial 16S ribosomal RNA". The stretch from base 192 to 492 matches the Rfam family "Bacterial large subunit ribosomal RNA", at positions 2075 to 2645 of the family's 2925-position model. The record is from RNAcentral. Lineage: Eukaryota; Metazoa; Arthropoda; Arachnida; Araneae; Lycosidae.